AUCUCUCUUCCCUGCAGAUCAAAGUACAUCAAAACUCUGCCUCUUCUUCUUCGUUCCAUCUGUAUCAUCUCUUCUCCAUCUUUUCUUUUCCAUUUUGAGCUAGGGUUCAAAAAACCCAAAAACAACCCUUCUGUAUCUCAGUUUGUCUAUGAAAUACAUACCCAAUCUUUGCUUAAAACUGCAAUUGUUAAAUUUUUGUUUCAAAAUUCAAAUGGAUUUCAAACACCCGCCUCUAUAUUCCCUCUUCAUUCAAAUGCCAACAACCCUAAUCAGAUUUCAAAAUCUCUGAAUCUUCAAUCUCCUAAUCUAUGAAUCUUCAAUCAUCUAUGAAUCUCCAAUCUUCAGAUCCUCUUCAUUGGUCCAAUUUCUUAUGUUUCAAAGAUUGGAGACAGUAAGGCUAUUGAGAUUCCGUAAUCAGGGUCGUUAGUGGCGGCCGGAAUCCAAAUCCCGAUUUACAAAUAUGGUUGAUAUUUCUUUUGAACUCCGGCAAAAAUCCAAAUCUCCGGCGAACCAGAUCUGAGUUAUGGUGAAAAUCCGAAUCUCUAGUAUAUGGUGAAAAAGCUUGAUAUAGAGGAAAGAAAAGUUCUGGAAAUGUGUGUCCAACUCUACAAGGAUUAUGGGACAACAAUGGCUGGUCUUCGGUUAUGAUCUUGAUUCUAAACUUUGAUCUUUGUGAAGUCUGAGCAAAGGUUUGUCGUUUCGUUUCUGUCAGCAUCAUGGGGAGGCCGUGCAACAAGUCAAAAUGGGUUCACGACUGUGAUCCCAAAAUAUAACUAUUUCAAGCAGCCAUGAGAGAGGUACAGAUCAUGGGAUCUAGCCAGGUACAUGUUUUAUGUAGCUGGUUUUUCUUUUAAAAUGACUCCCAACAUUCCAUCAUUUUGCUAAACUAUUCAUAUUUUUUCUAUAGACAAGAAAGAUUAGUUGUCCGAAUGUGUAAGUUUACCCUUUGCAUUUUUUUAUUACUUUAUCUUUAGUUUGCCAAUCAGUAAUCGUUUCUGUUCUUUUGAUGAAUGUGUUUUUUUCUAUUUCUUUUGAAGUAUACACGGAUCUAAAUAUGUUGAGUUGACUCGAACCACUUUUAUGUGCAUUUUCUGAAACUUUGAUGAAUAGUCAUUGCAUUAAAUAGUAUUUUAUAUUUUACUAAUUUCAAAUGUUUAAAUUGUUGUACCAAUUUGGUAUGCGCUCUUUCUUAGCUAUGCAUUUUAUAUUUGACGAGUUACGAAACCAAAAUAACUCAAAUCGGCUCAUUCCUAAUUACUAACUAUCAUGCAUCGAAAGUCACAUAAUGUAUCUACAUUGCUAAUAGCAAAGGUCAAAUUUAGAACACAAAUGCAAAGGCUUUAAAAUGAUUCUUCAUCAUAGGGUGUAAAACCGGUUAUACCAAAAAAGUAAGAACCAAAGGCUCUAAACCAAGUGAUUGCAGUGGAUUUGCUAAAAAUAUUAAUGGAAAUUAGAUUAGCUUUGCUUAUGAGUUGACUUUAUUGUAUAAUAUCUUUGUCGGGAAUUUUCCUACAUGACCCUGUUAGUUUUGUGGCACUAAUUCAACCCGAUCUUUUCAUCUUUAAGAAGAAGUUGUUAAUUAUGGACAGAAGACAACACCUAUGUGUGGGACACACUCUAAUGGACCAAAGGUUGAAAAGGUCAAAGUUUUAUAUUACAAGUCCUGCAUGGCAUGAACUCUGCUCGUCAUUGGCGUAGUUAACAGCUAUACUGGAUUCAAAAUGAUGAUAGAUUUCUUCGGUACAUAUCUCCAUGAUUAGAAGGAAAAUGAAACAAAUGAGAUCACUGUAUGAGCUUGACGCGCCCGCACCCGUUUACUAAUCCUAAAGUUCGAAGCACAUAGAGGAGCCCCUUACAAAUGAAGAAUUAUGAAUUGGAGAAAACUGGAUAAGGAACAAUGAUCCAGGUGGCAGAGAAGGCGUCCCUAUGCUGAAACGGUUAGUGAAUAACUAAUAUAUUAGCAAUUUUUACCCAUUUACUUUUAAGGAUCCAUUGAGUUAUAGUUAAUGAGUAAUGGGUCGGAUGAAAUUUAAAACUUAGCUAAUGUGAAAUGAUCGAACGAAAAGUGGUCCAACAUUUAUUUAAAUGGUUACAACAUCUCAUGUUGCUUUUAUUCAAUAAAAAAACAUAAAAUAGAUUA
RNAcentral lists this long non-coding RNA (2140 nucleotides) under Helianthus annuus (common sunflower). Its description in RNAcentral is "hypothetical non coding rna". Lineage: Eukaryota; Viridiplantae; Streptophyta; Magnoliopsida; Asterales; Asteraceae. The record is from RNAcentral.